This 484-nucleotide ribosomal RNA is filed under the name uncultured bacterium. RNAcentral's name for it is "partial 16S ribosomal RNA". It matches the Rfam family "Bacterial small subunit ribosomal RNA", at positions 28 to 523 of the family's 1533-position model. The record is from RNAcentral.
GACGAACGCUGGCGGCGUGCUUAACACAUGCAAGUCGAACGGGAUUCAACCAGUGGCAACACUGGGGAAGAUCUAGUGGCGAACGGGUGCGUAACACGUGAGGAACCUACCCCGGUCUCUGGAAUAACAGGUGGAAACACCUGCUAAUACCGGAUGCCGUCGGACCAUCGCAUGGUGGACCGACGAAAGAAUUUCGGAUCGGGACGGCCUCGCGGCCUAUCAGCUUGUUGGUGGGGUAAUGGCCUACCAAGGCAACGACGGGUAGCUGGUCUGAGAGGAUGAUGAGCCACACUGGGACUGAGACACGGCCCAGACUCCUACGGGAGGCAGCAGUGGGGAAUCUUGCGCAAUGGGCGAAAGCCUGACGCAGCAACGCCGCGUGCGGGAUGAAGGCCUUCGGGUUGUAAACCGCUUUCAGCAGGAACGAAACUGACGGUACCUGCAGAAGAAGGUGCGGCCAACUACGUGCCAGCAGCCGCAGUAA